UGGCGACCGGCGCACGGGUGAGUAACACGUAUCCAACCUGCCGAUAACUCGGGGAUAGCCUUUCGAAAGAAAGAUUAAUAUCCGAUAGCAUAUCAAGAUCGCAUGAUCUUGAUAUUAAAGAAUUUCGGUUAUCGAUGGGGAUGCGUUCCAUUAGUUAGUUGGCGGGGUAACGGCCCACCAAGACGACGAUGCGUAGGGGUUCUGAGAGGAAGGUCCCCCACAUUGGAACUGAGACACGGUCCAAACUCCUACGGAAGGCAGCAG
This 264-nucleotide ribosomal RNA is filed under the name uncultured bacterium. RNAcentral's name for it is "partial 16S ribosomal RNA". It matches the Rfam family "Bacterial small subunit ribosomal RNA", at positions 89 to 354 of the family's 1533-position model. The record is from RNAcentral.